GUGGUGUUGGUUGUCCUCUUCUAACAAAUUAGCAACAAUGAGUUUAUUAUGUAUUUCUUCAAUACAUUUUAUAACAAAGAAAGCAUGUAAUGAAAGCGUAAAGACAUUUUCAUGUUAAACUGCUGUACAAUGUACCCCAAUUUUUGACGUUUUUGUCUAUUAUGUCUGUUUGCUUUGCUGGCAUAUUGUUGUCAAUAUAAUGGAAUUCCAUGCAACUGUCCUACAAGUCAGAGGUGAAUCUAGCUAUUGAUCCAGAUUUAAUCCACUAUUUCCCACAUAAAGAAAUGCCUUUACUAAGUCAGGAAUAUGACAGUUGUUUUCCAUUCGUUAGAUGUUCGUUUGAUGUUUUUGAGCUUUUAAUUUUGUCAUGUUAUGAAGAAAUUUCCGUUUUAAUUUUCUUUUUGGAGUUCUUCUUUUUGUAUUUAUUUUUUACCUGUAAUUGACAGUAUUUUUCAUAUGUUGUGAUAUUAAACCACUGUCCCACGCCUAGGGUUUCAUCAUUGUUGGAGAUAUAACAGUUACCAAUAGUUUACAACCACUUUAUUUGGACUCUAGUGAAAAUCAUACCACCACCAAUUAAUUAUUCGCUAAUUUAACCAGAAAGGUGCAUUAAGUACGUUUACUUUUAGUCCAUGCAAUGAUAUAAAGUUUCCUAAAUGUCUUUGAGUGCAAACUGGCCAUUUAUCCUAACAUUACUGACCAAAAGCUCGGCCAGUACAUGACGUUAUAUAAGUUGUUUACAUGACAGUUUGCAUUUAACACCAAGGUCAGUUUUACUACUAUACAAAGGCUUCCUGCUGAUUUCAACUUUUAAACCUUUUAGUAUUUGCUGAUACAGGCGAUUUAAGAGUGUGGGCAAAAUGUUAUUUAUAUACAGUUUAUUGAACACAAAGAAAUGGAAUUAGAUUUAUAAGCUGUAUAAAUAUUAAUAUAAUUUCCAAUGUCAAAUAAAUAGUAAUAAACAACUCCUACUAAGUACCUUGUAGAUAAUUCGUUGAUUAUUGAAAGUGUACUAGAUACUCAUUUUAUUUCACUGGCUAGACUAACUAUCUCUGUACAUGUAUUAAUUUAAAGUUC
Molecule: long non-coding RNA, 1077 nt
Filed under: Mytilus galloprovincialis (Mediterranean mussel)
Lineage: Eukaryota; Metazoa; Mollusca; Bivalvia; Mytilida; Mytilidae
Source: RNAcentral